This is a long non-coding RNA of Corythoichthys intestinalis (scribbled pipefish), 2172 nucleotides long. RefSeq lists it as uncharacterized. Lineage: Eukaryota; Metazoa; Chordata; Actinopteri; Syngnathiformes; Syngnathidae. The record is from RefSeq and is a predicted model, not a curated record. The transcript is spliced from 5 exons.
CAAAUUUGGUGGAUGGCGGCUUAUAGUCAGGUGCGCCUUAUAGUCCAAAAAUUAGGGUAGUCGGUGGAAUUGAUUUCAACAAAUUAGCUAGUGUGAGUCAUAGGUGCCUGCUUGGCAUGCUAAUAAAAAAAACAUAUUAACAGAUCAAACCUAGUCAAAUAAAUUCAAAAUGCAGAUCCUUGUUCCAAAUACCCAUGUGGCCAAAACAAUGUCACACCAAACUGCCGUAAUUCAUUUCAUUCUGAAGGACUAUUUUUUAGAUGCGUAAUGCGACCACAAUAGAGAGGAAUGCUUCGACCAUUCAUGCUCAGUCUGCUGGGGAGUCCGUUUUCGUUCCCACAAAAACAAAAACAAAAAACAAAAAAGUGUAAAAAAAACUAUGUGAUAUCAUUCCGCCUUGCUAGCCUAGACAGCCUGUUUCCUGCAGAGCUGCUGGAUUACAAAUGUUGUUAUUCAUACUACAAUUAUUGACAUUCUAUGGUAAGUUUUAAUAACUUUUUUCUAUAAACAUAGCCAACACUAUUGAUUGCAUAGGUCAUCUGUGAUUGUCUUGCGUGCAUAUGUUGUUUUUUAUUGGUGUGCUAAGUAAGCACCAUUGACAUUGGCAUGUUAGCUUAGCCACUCCGGAGCCCUGCAACUAACAACUAACAAACUGCAGGGGAUUUGUUGAAAUAAAUCCAGCGACUUAGGGUGAAUCCCAUUUCACCCCUUGGCCCUACCCCUUCCCCUCCGUUUUGCGCGUUCAUGUUUAGGGGUAGGGCUGUCCCAAUUCACGCUAAUGUGCAGGGGUAGGGGUAAGGGGGAGGGCUUUCCACCCCUCCUAACGGAGGGCCAUGACUACCCUCACUCCAAACGGAGGGUUACGCGAAAUUUCCCAGGGUGCAAAGCGAUUACCCCGAGAAUCAUUUCCAAAAUGGCGGAGCCAAGGAAAGAAGUACACAAAUGGAGUCAAGCACAAACAAAGAGCCUUACCAGGUUUGAGAACCAAGAACGGUUCUUGAAGUCAAAAGCCUCGGCCAAACAACAGUGGGAGAAGCUGAUCAAGGAGCUGGGGCUGCAGGGGAAGAUGUCCUCCCAGCAGGUCUCCAAAAAAUGGGAGAAUUAAAAAAAAAAAAAGUACAAGGAGCUGAAAACUCCCUGCUCUGGGGGUGGGACAGAUGAAGGCCAGGAGACCGCCACAACGUGGCAAUAUUAUGAGGAUAUGCACGCGGUGCUGAGAGGAAGGGCAGCAAUAAACCCUCCACUCUUGGUGGAUCCAUGCGCAGAGGGGGAUGUCAUCAUCCAAAGUGCUUUGAACGUCGCUGAGCCCAGAAUGUGCCACGUGCUGUUCCUGCUCCAGUCACCCCACCAUCUCUUCAUUUUGUUUAUUGAUGGUUGUCUUAUGUUCAUUUUUUUAAUCUGGUCAUAUUCAUACUGUUUAUUUUCUGUAGUUGCUCCACACACUUUCAGACACUUUAAGCUGUAAUUUGCACUAUGUUCACUAUUUCUGAAAAGAAGCUGCUAAUAAAAGAAAGGAAUAACAAUUUGUGAGCAUGAUUAUCACAUCAGCAUCAUAUGAAUGAAACGGAUAUUGGUUUGAAGAGAUUUAUUUUGUAAAAUAAAAAUGUGAUGCAUUACAUUAGAAUGUAAUGGGAAAAUGGGAGAAAAAGCGUGAAAAAAAAGAAAACGAUCACCAAAAAUUAUAUACAUUGCACAUCAACACACGAGCCACCACGAUGUAAGAGAGUCCAUGUGCCAACCAGUAUAUAUAGAUCAGGACCUCCAGUUGCCCGUCCCAACCAUGGUCCUGCUCUCUCUGCAGCAGCUUUUGGACAGCGUUUAUGGCUCUUCUGCUGAGGUGUAGGUCCCACCUCAAGUCCGCCUCAACAUUGAAUCACAACCUUAGAACAGGUAUAUUAUGGUCCAACCGGCAAUAAUUUGUGGGAUGACCCAUUUGCUGGAAAGAAAAACAUGGAAAGAACAGGCUUUCAUCCUCCCAAACCAACACAUUGAUGGCACACACAAUGCAGUGAAUGUAUUUAUGUAUUCACAUCUGACCCUGGUACAAAAAAAUGGGUUCAAACCCCCCUGAGCAGCAUGUUUAUCUCAAACGGAAGGAGGCGAGUAACAAAAGCCACACGUUAGCUGUUGCUUUUUGUUCGGUUAGCCAGGCUAGGACACUACUCCAAUCAA